RNAcentral lists this ribosomal RNA (453 nucleotides) under uncultured Alloprevotella sp. Its description in RNAcentral is "partial 16S ribosomal RNA". It matches the Rfam family "Bacterial small subunit ribosomal RNA", at positions 341 to 792 of the family's 1533-position model. Lineage: Bacteria; Pseudomonadati; Bacteroidota; Bacteroidia; Bacteroidales; Prevotellaceae. The record is from RNAcentral.
ACGGGAGGCAGCAGUGAGGAAUAUUGGUCAAUGGUCGGAAGACUGAACCAGCCAAGUCGCGUGCAGGAAGACGGUCCUAUGGAUUGUAAACUGCUUUUGUACGGGAAUAAAGUGGGGGACGUGUCCCCUUUGGAAUGUACCGUAAGAAUAAGGGUCGGCUAACUCCGUGCCAGCAGCCGCGGUAAUACGGAAGGUCCAGGCGUUAUCCGGAUUUAUUGGGUUUAAAGGGAGCGUAGGCGGAUUAUCAAGUCAGUGGUAAAAUCGUGUGGCCCAACCAUACCUCGCCAUUGAAACUGUUAGUCUUGAGUGCACGCAGGGAUGCUGGAAUUCGUUGUGUAGCGGUGAAAUGCUUAGAUAUGACGAAGAACUCCGAUCGCGAAGGCAGGUGUCUGGAGUGCAACUGACGCUGAGGCUCGAAAGUGCGGGUAUCAAACAGGAUUAGAUACCCUGGUA